This 262-nucleotide ribosomal RNA is filed under the name uncultured bacterium. RNAcentral's name for it is "partial 16S ribosomal RNA". It matches the Rfam family "Bacterial small subunit ribosomal RNA", at positions 793 to 1055 of the family's 1533-position model. The record is from RNAcentral.
GUCCACGCCCUAAACUAUGUCAACUAGUUGUCGGGUCUUAAUAGGCUUGGUAACGUAGCUAACGCGUGAAGUUGACCGCCUGGGGAGUACGGUCGCAAGAUUAAACUCAAAGGAAUUGACGGGGACCCGCACAAGCGGUGGAUUAUGUGGAUUAAUUCGAUGCAACGCGAAACCUUACCUACCCUUGACAUGUCAGAAAGUUUUCAGAGAUGAAUUUCGUGCCCGAAAGGGAAUCUGAACACAGGUGCUGCAUGGCUGUCGU